Molecule: transfer RNA, 80 nt
Filed under: Rhodospirillaceae bacterium
Lineage: Bacteria; Pseudomonadati; Pseudomonadota; Alphaproteobacteria; Rhodospirillales; Rhodospirillaceae
Description: tRNA-Arg
Rfam family: tRNA
About the family: Transfer RNA (tRNA) molecules are approximately 80 nucleotides in length. Their secondary structure includes four short double-helical elements and three loops (D, anti-codon, and T loops).
Source: RNAcentral
GCGUCCCAGUAGCUAAGUUGGAUAAGAGCACUACCUUCCGAAGGUAGAGGUCGUGAGUUUGAAUCUCGUCGGAUGUGCCA